CCUACGGGAGGCAGCAGUGGGGAAUAUUGCACAAUGGGGGAAACCCUGAUGCAGCGACGCCGCGUGAGUGAAGAAGUAAUUCGUUAUGUAAAGCUCUAUCAGCAGGGAAGAAAAUGACGGUACCUGAGUAAGAAGCCCCGGCUAACUACGUGCCAGCAGCCGCGGUAAUACGUAGGGGGCAAGCGUUAUCCGGAUUUACUGGUUGUAAAGGGAGCGUAGACGGCAGUGCAAGUCUGGAUUGAAAGGCGGGGGCUCAACCCCCGGACUGCUCUGGAAACUGUACGGCUGGAGUGCAGGAGGGGUAAGGGGAAUUUCGAGGGUAGGGGUGAAAGGUGGGGAUAUUAGGGGGAACACCAGUGGCGAAGGCGGCUUACUGGAGUUUGACUGACGUGGAGGCUCGAAAGCGUGGGGAGCAAACAGGAUUAGAUACCCCUGUAGUC
This 440-nucleotide ribosomal RNA is filed under the name uncultured bacterium. RNAcentral's name for it is "partial 16S ribosomal RNA". It matches the Rfam family "Bacterial small subunit ribosomal RNA", at positions 338 to 795 of the family's 1533-position model. The record is from RNAcentral.